Molecule: ribosomal RNA, 114 nt
Organism: Cricetulus griseus (Chinese hamster)
Lineage: Eukaryota; Metazoa; Chordata; Mammalia; Rodentia; Cricetidae
Source: Ensembl
GUAUGCAACCUAACUUAAUGUGACCAAUCUUGUCUCAUCUCAGAAGCUAAGCAGGGUUGGGCCUGGUUAAUACUUUGAUGGGAGACUGCCUGGGAAUACUAAGUGCUGUAGACU